Camellia sinensis is the source of this 494-nucleotide non-coding RNA. The record is from RefSeq and is a predicted model, not a curated record. Lineage: Eukaryota; Viridiplantae; Streptophyta; Magnoliopsida; Ericales; Theaceae.
CUUUUCAUUUAUCAACAAGAAAAGCAAACAAGUGUUGCAAUUCUUUGUAAUAAUAGUCUCUCUUAUUCUGUGUGCAUUGCAGGUUUGCACAAGCUCUCUCUAUUGAACAUGGAAGGUUGCCCUGUUACUGCAGCAUCCUUUGACUCUCUUGCAGGUAUGUAGACCAAUGAAGACUAACAGUGAACUCUCUCAUCAAUUUGAAUCAAUUUGAAUUUAACUCAUCCAAGCUUGAAAUUUAUGUUAUAGGCAGGAAUAGAUUUUUGAAAUGCAAUCUAGUAAAGUUCAAUAGUCUCUUACUUUGGUGAUAUCUUGAGUUGGGGAUAAUUUUCUUGGUCGUAAUUUGCCAUCUCUUGUAUAGUUGGAUCAAUCAUUAUAGCUCAACACUGCUUUCUCUGUUAAUAUCUUUGUUAAAACAUGAUUUGUGAAUAUGUUGUUUUGUGGUUAAUGGUGAUUGGAUAUUAAAUUGAAUGGGAAAAUGAACUAAUGUUGUAUUU